ACUUAAUAGAGAUUAAUAAGCAUCAAAUCUUGAGACACUCGACAAAGGCUCAGUGGUGUGAACAUGCUGCUCAACCAUCAUGGUGGUUCAAAGCCCCUUACUAGAAUCAAUUCAGAUUCAAAGCAAUAGGACUUGAAACUCUUCACUGAGAAGAAUGAAGAGAAGAAAAUUGUAAAGAGAGAAAGUAGAGGGAUAAAGUGGAGAGAG
RNAcentral lists this long non-coding RNA (207 nucleotides) under Elaeis guineensis (African oil palm). RNAcentral describes it as "long non-coding RNA (EGUI_LNC008242)". Lineage: Eukaryota; Viridiplantae; Streptophyta; Magnoliopsida; Arecales; Arecaceae. The record is from RNAcentral.